RNAcentral lists this ribosomal RNA (422 nucleotides) under uncultured bacterium. Its description in RNAcentral is "bacterial SSU rRNA". It matches the Rfam family "Bacterial small subunit ribosomal RNA", at positions 355 to 776 of the family's 1533-position model. The record is from RNAcentral.
UGAGGAAUAUUGCACAAUGGGGGAAACCCUGAUGCAGCGAUGCCGCGUGCGGGAUGAAGGGGCUUUGCCUCGUAAACCGCUGUCGGAUGGGAAGAAAGGGUUCUUAGAGGACCUGGGACUGUACCAUAAGAGGAAGGGACGGCUAACUACGUGCCAGCAGCCGCGGUAAUACGUAGGUCCCGAGCGUUGUCCGGAAUUACUGGGUGUAAAGGGUGCGCAGGCGGCCAUGUGCGUCAGAAGUGAAAUAUCACGGCUUAACCGUGAGGGUGCUUUUGAAACGGCGUGGCUUGAGUACGGGAGAGGAUGAUGGAAUUCCUGGUGUAGCAGUGAAAUGCGUAGAUAUCAGGAGGAACACCGGUGGCGAAGGCGGUCAUCUGGCCCGGUACUGACGCUCAGGCACGAAAGUGUGGGUAGCAAACAGG